Molecule: non-coding RNA, 88 nt
Filed under: Schaalia cardiffensis
Lineage: Bacteria; Bacillati; Actinomycetota; Actinomycetes; Actinomycetales; Actinomycetaceae
Also listed under: 1 other name
Description: Actinomyces cardiffensis TPP sequence
Rfam family: TPP riboswitch aptamer (THI element)
About the family: Vitamin B(1) in its active form thiamin pyrophosphate (TPP) is an essential coenzyme that is synthesised by coupling of pyrimidine and thiazole moieties in bacteria. The previously detected thiamin-regulatory element, thi box was extended, resulting in a new, highly conserved RNA secondary structure, the THI element, which is widely distributed in eubacteria and also occurs in some archaea. Analysis of operon structures identified a large number of new candidate thiamin-regulated genes, mostly transporters, in various prokaryotic organisms.
Source: RNAcentral
CUGCGUGACACGGGGUGCCACUGGCUGAGAACACACCCGUUGAACCUGUCCAGAUAAUUCUGACGAAGGGAUGUCGCAUGAUUACGCA